Neolamprologus brichardi is the source of this 456-nucleotide long non-coding RNA. RefSeq lists it as uncharacterized. The record is from RefSeq and is a predicted model, not a curated record. NCBI's taxonomy places the organism in Eukaryota, Metazoa, Chordata, Actinopteri, Cichliformes, Cichlidae.
UUCACCGAGAGCCUGCAUUUACCUAAAAAUAAUUUAUUCUUUUUUUUAUUAUUAUUAUACAAAAUGUUUUAUUCAGGUCACAGGGUGAUGUUUGAAUCUGUACCAGCUUGCAUUGGACAGAAGACGGGAAAACCGGGGACAGUCCCUUGGAACUAUCUUAAAAUAUGCCAAGGUUGUUUUCCACAGGCAGUAAUGUGAUCCUCACAAAUCAAAGGAUACAUGUAAACUUGAUUGAGAAUGUGGCCGAAGGAGAAGAGAAAAAAAGGAAGACAUGGAGAGAUGGAACAACAACUCAUGAAGUGCUAACUGACAAAGCUGGAAGAGUAAGAGAGACCACAGAAAGGUGAAGAGACGGGAAUAUGUCCAUUUCAAAAAACAGCCACAGGCUUCAGCCGAGUCUGACAUCUUCUGCUUUAGAAUACUCCUAUGCAGCAAACUGAUGCAAAAUGACGUGCA